CAUGGUCUGCGGUUAAAAGCUCCGGCGGUGAAGGAUGAGCCCGCGGCCUAUCAGCUUGUUGGUGAGGUAAUGGCUCACCAAGGCGACGACGGGUAGCCGGCCUGAGAGGGCGACCGGCCACACUGGGACUGAGACACGGCCCAGACUCCUACGGGAGGCAGCAGUGGGGAAUAUUGCACAAUGGGCGAAAGCCUGAUGCAGCGACGCCGCGUGAGGGAUGACGGCCUUCGGGUUGUAAACCUCUUUCAGCAGGGAAGAAGCGAAAGUGACGGUACCUGCAGAAGAAGCGCCGGCUAACUACGUGCCAGCAGCCGCGGUAAUACGUAGGGCGCAAGCGUUGUCCGGAAUUAUUGGGCGUAAAGAGCUCGUAGGCGGCUUGUCACGUCGAUU
RNAcentral lists this ribosomal RNA (390 nucleotides) under Streptomyces sp. RNAcentral's name for it is "bacterial SSU rRNA". It matches the Rfam family "Bacterial small subunit ribosomal RNA", at positions 189 to 593 of the family's 1533-position model. Lineage: Bacteria; Bacillati; Actinomycetota; Actinomycetes; Kitasatosporales; Streptomycetaceae. The record is from RNAcentral.